Orcinus orca (killer whale) is the source of this 722-nucleotide long non-coding RNA. RefSeq lists it as uncharacterized. The transcript is spliced from 3 exons. Lineage: Eukaryota; Metazoa; Chordata; Mammalia; Artiodactyla; Delphinidae. The record is from RefSeq and is a predicted model, not a curated record.
ACGCAUGGCUCCAAGCCUCUCCCAGCCCUCCUUUUGAGCCCAGGAGUCCAGCCAGCUCUGCGCUUCUCCCAUGCAUCUGAUGGAUUCCAACCUGAUGAUCCGUGGCAGAGUGACCUCUAGACUUUAUACAAGUUGUAACCUCCUUCUCUUUACCCCCUUGACUCUCUGAGGGGCAGGGAAACUGAGUCCUGGCAAGGUGGAGGGCAGCUGAAGAAAAGGACCAGAUGUCUAGCAUCCCAGCUGUUAGGCAGGCAAGGCACCCCAGCCACAUGGCAGCCACAUACACUGGACAGACCAGGACACGUGUGUAGGAUAUCAGGUCCAUCCCCCAGCACCCACGGCAGCUCUGGGGCAGACCAUGGUUAAGAAUCCGCCUGCCAACGCAGGGGACAUGGGUUUGAGCCCUGGUCCGGGAAGAUCCCACAUGCCCCAGAGCAAUUAAGCCCGUGCACCACAACUACUGAGCCUGUGCUCUAGAGCCCAUGAGCCACAACUACUGAGCCCACGUGCCACAACUACUGAAGCCCGCGUGCCUAGAGCCCAUGCUCCACAACAAGAGAAGACACCUCAAUGAGAAGCCUGCACACCACAACGAAGAGGGGCCCCCACUCGCCGCAACUAGACAAAACCUGCACGCAGCAAUGAAGACCCAAUGCAGCCAAAUAAAUAAAAUAAAAAAUACAAAUAAAUUUAUAAAAAAAUUUGUUUCUUUUCCAAUUGAA